RNAcentral lists this ribosomal RNA (489 nucleotides) under uncultured bacterium. Its description in RNAcentral is "partial 16S ribosomal RNA". It matches the Rfam family "Bacterial small subunit ribosomal RNA", at positions 28 to 507 of the family's 1533-position model. The record is from RNAcentral.
GACGAACGCUGGCGGCGUGCUUAACACAUGCAAGUCGAACGGAAAGGCCCCCACCUUGGUGGGGGUGCUCGAGUGGCGAACGGGUGAGUAACACGUGGGUGAUCUGCCCUGUACUUCGGGAUAAGCUUGGGAAACUGGGUCUAAUACCGGAUAGGACCAUGGUUUAGUGUCUCAUGGUGGAAAAAUUAUUGUUUUGGUGCAGGAUGAGCUCGCGGCCUAUCAGCUUGUUGGUGGGGUAAUGGCCUACCAAGGCGUCGACGGGUAGCCGGCCUGAGAGGGCGGACGGCCACAUUGGGACUGAGAUACGGCCCAGACUCCUACGGGAGGCGGCAGUGGGGAAUAUUGCACAAUGGGCGCAAGCCUGAUGCAGCGACGCCGCGUGGGGGAUGACGGCCUUCGGGUUGUAAACUCCUUUCGUUAGGGACGAAGCCACACCUUUUUUGGGUGUGGUGACGGUACCUUUGUUAAGAAGCACCGGCUAACUACGUG